UGGGGAAUUUUGCACAAUGGGGGAAACCCUGAUGCAGCGACGCCGCGUGAUUUAGAAGGCCUUCGGGUUGUAAAAAUCUUUUCUAUGGGAAGAAAAUGACAGUACCAUACGAAUAAGGACCGGCUAAUUACGUGCCAGCAGCCGCGGUAAUACGUAAGGUCCGAGCGUUGUCCGGAAUCAUUGGGCGUAAAGGGUACGUAGGCGGAUAAGCAAGUUAGAAGUGAAAUCCUAUAGCUCAACUAUAGUAAGCUUUUAAAACUGCUCAUCUUGAGGUAUGGAAGGGAAAGUGGAAUUCCUAGUGUAGCGGUGAAAUGCGCAGAUAUUAGGAGGAAUACCGGUGGCGAAGGCGACUUUCUGGCCAUAAACUGACGCUGAGGUACGAAAGCGUGGGUAGCAAACAGG
This 402-nucleotide ribosomal RNA is filed under the name Verrucomicrobiota bacterium. RNAcentral describes it as "Verrucomicrobia bacterium partial 16S ribosomal RNA". It matches the Rfam family "Bacterial small subunit ribosomal RNA", at positions 355 to 776 of the family's 1533-position model. The record is from RNAcentral. Lineage: Bacteria; Pseudomonadati; Verrucomicrobiota.